Molecule: ribosomal RNA, 496 nt
Filed under: uncultured bacterium
Lineage: Bacteria
Description: partial 16S ribosomal RNA
Rfam family: Bacterial small subunit ribosomal RNA
Source: RNAcentral
GAUGAACGCUAGCGGCAGGCCUAAUACAUGCAAGUCGAGGGGUAGAGCUAGCUUGCUAGCUUGAGACCGGCGCACGGGUGCGUAACGCGUAUGCAACCUACCCUUUUCUGGGGGAUAGCCCGGAGAAAUCCGGAUUAAUACCGCAUAAGACCACGAUACGGCAUCGUGAUGUGGUCAAACAUUUAUGGGAGAAGGAUGGGCAUGCGUGCCAUUAGCUAGUUGGCGGGGUAACGGCCCACCAAGGCGACGAUGGCUAGGGGAUCUGAGAGGAUGGCCCCCCACACUGGUACUGAGACACGGACCAGACUCCUACGGGAGGCAGCAGUAAGGAAUAUUGGUCAAUGGGGGCAACCCUGAACCGGCCAUGCCGCGUGCAGGACGACGGCCCUCCGGGUUGUAAACUGCUUUUGUACGGGAAUAAACCCCGCUACGUGUAGCGGGCUGAAUGUACCGUAAGAAUAAGGAUCGGCUAACUCCGUGCCAGCCGCCGCGGUAA